RNAcentral lists this ribosomal RNA (794 nucleotides) under fungal sp. MS213. Its description in RNAcentral is "eukaryotic LSU rRNA". The stretch from base 524 to 794 matches the Rfam family "Eukaryotic large subunit ribosomal RNA", at positions 1 to 265 of the family's 3401-position model. Lineage: Eukaryota; Fungi. The record is from RNAcentral.
ACGGGGUUGUAGCUGGCCUUCACGGGCAUGUGCACACCUCACUCAUCCACUCUACACCUGUGCACUUACUGUGGGUUUCGAGAGGCCGCGCUUGCGUGGUUGAUCGGGCUCACGUCUAUUACAAACUCUUCAGUAUCAGAAUGUGUAUCGCGAUGUAACGCAUCUAUAUACAACUUUCAGCAACGGAUCUCUUGGCUCUCGCAUCGAUGAAGAACGCAGCGAAAUGCGAUAAGUAAUGUGAAUUGCAGAAUUCAGUGAAUCAUCGAAUCUUUGAACGCACCUUGCGCUCCUUGGUAUUCCGAGGAGCAUGCCUGUUUGAGUGUCGUGUAAUUCUCAACCUAUAAAUCCUUGUGGUUUUUAGGCUUGGACUUGGAGGCUUUUGCUGGCUUUACCGUCGGCUCCUCUUAAACGCAUUAGCUUGAUUCCUUGCGGAUCGGCUCUCAGUGUGAUAAUUAUCUGCGCUGUGACCGUGAAGCGUUUGGCGAGCUUCUAACCGUCUCUUCGAGACAAACACUUUGACAUCUGACCUCAAAUCAGGUAGGACUACCCGCUGAACUUAAGCAUAUCAAUAAGCGGAGGAAAAGAAACUAACAAGGAUUCCCCUAGUAACUGCGAGUGAAGCGGGAAGAGCUCAAAUUUAAAAUCUGGCGGUCUUUGGCCGUCCGAGUUGUAGUCUGGAGAAGUGCUUUCCGCGCUGGACCGUGUACAAGUCUCUUGGAACAGAGCGUCAUAGAGGGUGAGAAUCCCGUCUUUGACACGGACUACCAGUGCUUUGUGAUGCGCUCUCAAAGAGU